GGAUUAUAGCUUGCUAUAAUUGUCAGCUAAGUGGCGCACGGGUGAGUAAUAUAUAGGUAACGUGCCUUCAAGAAGGGGAUAACAGAUGGAAACGCCUGCUAACACCCUAUAUGCCUUUAAUACAUAAGUAUGCAAGGGAAAUAUUCAUAGCUUGAAGAUCGGCCUGUACAGUAUCAGUUAGUUGGUGAGGUAAUGGCUCACCAAGACAAUGACGCUUAACUGGUUUGAGAGGAUGAUCAGUCACACUGGAACUGAGACACGGUCCAGACUCCUACGGGAGGCAGCAGUGGGGAAUAUUGCACAAUGGGGGAAACCCUGAUGCAGCAACGCCGCGUGGAGGAUGACACAUUUCGGUGCGUAAACUCCUUUUAUAUAGGAAGAUAAUGACGGUACUAUAUGAAUAAGCGCCGGCUAACUCCGUGCCAGCAGCCGCGGUAAUACGGAGGGCGCAAGCGUUACUCGGAAUCACUGGGCGUAAAGAGCGUGUAGGCGGAUAAAUAAGUCAGAAGUGAAAUCCAAUAGCUCAACUAUUGAACUGCUUUUGAAACUGUUUAUCUAGAGUAUGGGAGAGGUAGAUGGAAUUUCUGGUGUAGGGGUAAAAUCCGUAGAGAUCAGAAGGAAUACCGAUUGCGAAGGCGAUCUACUGGAACAUAACUGACGCUGAGACGCGAAAGCGUGGGGAGCAAACAGGAUUAGAUACCCUGGUAGUCCACGCCCUAAACGAUGUACACUAGUUGUUGCUAUGCUCGACAUAGCAGUAAUGCAGUUAACACAUUAAGUGUACCGCCUGGGGAGUACGGUCGCAAGAUUAAAACUCAAAGGAAUAGACGGGGACCCGCACAAGCGGUGGAGCAUGUGGUUUAAUUCGACGAUACGCGAAGAACCUUACCUGGU
RNAcentral lists this ribosomal RNA (894 nucleotides) under Malaciobacter molluscorum. RNAcentral describes it as "bacterial SSU rRNA". It matches the Rfam family "Bacterial small subunit ribosomal RNA", at positions 70 to 979 of the family's 1533-position model. Lineage: Bacteria; Pseudomonadati; Campylobacterota; Epsilonproteobacteria; Campylobacterales; Arcobacteraceae. The record is from RNAcentral.